UCACAUGCACCUUUAUGAUGAAGUUAUGCCUUUGUUAAGCCUACCAGCGCACUUGUCGCAGCGCCAACAGCAAAAAAGAUUUUCGCACGAUCCAAUUUUCCUGGUUAUGCGCACGAGCCGCGAACCAGAGCUUUGCCGCGCCACUCUCUUAUAACUCCUGUAAAGUUGGCGUUUUCCGCCUCCAGCCAACACCAAAUCAUAUUCGAUAGCCAAAAGCAGUGAAUGACUUAGGACAGUCCACCACUGCGUUCCAAAAUGACGGUACGCGCCACUGGGCAUCAAGACGCUGUUUAGCGUAGUCGCCGUAAGCUAGGUAGCAACUGUUCUGUGUUUACCAGGAAAAGCAACAUAGUGCAACGAAGGAGAGUCAUGCAUUCUCAAACGCCAAAAUUAUCCUUUUUAUGGAAUAUUCUCGACAUUCGGCUUUUUAUUUUCUCUUUCAGCGUCCAGCAGAGGCACAUCGCAAGCUGCCUGCCCUAUUCUUCAGGAGCUGCGUUCCUCUCCACCCUCCUCUCCACUGCUCCUGUCCUCCUUCCCGGUGCCCUCCUCUCCUCCGCCCACGGCCUUGUGCGAGGCCUCGUCCACCUUGCCCGCCAUCUCCUGGAUGCGACCACCGCCCAAAUGGCCGCCAACCUGCAGCACGAGGAUCGACAGGAGGACGGAAAGCUGGGAGGGAGGAGACAGGCAACAGGCGGGGUUGUGGCAUGACGGUGCGGGAGCCUGACGUGGCAACGAACACCUGCUGCCGUACUACCAUGAUGUAAUGGUGAGACUUGCAAUUGGUGGAGUUCAGAAAUUUUGUGUCAGUAGAAAACGCCCCAAGGCAUGGAAAAUUGUCGUCACCAAAUUGUUCCUCACGAAUGUGCGGUACACCGAACACUCGGUCAAAUCGAUUUAUAGCUGCAGCCCUUUUUUAAAGAGCCGUGCGGGCCGUUGCGGGCAGAGACGCGCGCGGACGGUCCCUGGAGGGCCAUCAAAUCUGUACCACAACUCUGCAGUAACUUGUCGCGGUCUUCACCAAAAACGCAUGACACCAAAUAAUUUUCAAAUAUACCAUUUUCAAGCCCUUGCUAAAAAGCUGUCGCAAAUGUAUCGUGGCAAUACUGUACCCACACCUACUAUGCACGCCUACUAUGCACGCCAUCUAUCCACAUCUAUCCACAUCUAUCCACAUCUAUCCUAUCCACAUCUAUCCUAUCCACAUCUAUCCUAUCCACAUCUAUCCACAUCUAUCCACACCUAUCCACACCUAUCCACACCUAUCCACACCUAUCCACACCUAUCCACACCUAUCCACACCUUUAUCUAUAGUUCCUUACCCUGACACGCUGUAGCAUCGUAACGCGCGGCGGCAGGUGACGACCACCCGUCCAUGCGCACCCGUUUCGUUUGCCCCGGAGCAGGCAUUCAUAAGAGGUGGAUCCAUACAUGAUGCGGUACAGGGACGGUACGGGACAGACUCAACUAUGGUCUUAACGCGAAGGUAUUCUCCAGGCAGGGAAUUCCGAAACGGCAAUUGAAGCUGGAGUUAAAAAGCAAAUCAUUAACGAUCAUCGCAAAAAUGUAGUAGCUGGUACAUAGGACGGCACACACAUCAACUCCAGAUAAGCAUGAAGCGUUCGAUCAGCAUCUCGCGAGGGGCCUUUUCACAAUUAGUAUCGAGAUCCCAAAAAUUACGAGAUCAGACAGCCAUUGUUUUGUUUAAUAGUUAGUGGCCAGUUUCAUUUCACAGUUUCUGCUGUAGCUUCCAUGCAGUACUGGACCUUUACCUAACAACUGAAAUGUAUAACCGCCAACCGCCAGUCAAGACCCAUGGCCAACCUCCCAUCUCACCUCCAUAGAGUCGCACUCAUCAAAGUUUUUACCAAACAGCUUCUAUGGUGAUGCACGUGGUGUACAAGUGCGAGCGAGCGAUUGGGUGCAGGAAGGGGAGGACGAGCGUGAGAUAGUUUGCACAGGCGCAUUGGCACCGACCCACGGGUCAAAGGCCACGUUAUGCCAAAGUCAAAUUUGGACCCCAAAUUUGGACCCUCAAAAGCCCCCAAACCCAAACCACAAAUAGCAGUCACAGUUAUUUUUUUAGGACUAACAGAUUUAUGCGCAUUCGAAAAUUGAGCUUUUGCUAUGAGCUGGUUAUGAGCUGGUUAUGAGCUGCACUUGCCUGGGCCAUCUCGUUUCGCUCCUCGGGGGUGGUAGGCAUGUUGUUGGAUGUGCGGAGGGCGCGGACAAAGAGUAAGGAAGAGGGGAGGCGGUGCUGCAAUGGAAUGCGACGGAGGUCAAGGAAGGCUGGAACUUUGCAAAA
This 2302-nucleotide long non-coding RNA is filed under the name Volvox carteri. RNAcentral's name for it is "long non-coding RNA (VCAR_LNC000697)". Lineage: Eukaryota; Viridiplantae; Chlorophyta; Chlorophyceae; Chlamydomonadales; Volvocaceae. The record is from RNAcentral.